Molecule: ribosomal RNA, 620 nt
Filed under: uncultured bacterium
Lineage: Bacteria
Description: bacterial SSU rRNA
Rfam family: Bacterial small subunit ribosomal RNA
Source: RNAcentral
ACGAGAAUCUAUGGAUAGAGGAUUCGUCCAAUUGAAAUAGAGGACAGUGGCGAACGGGUGAGUAAUGCAUGAGCAACCUGCCCUUCAGAGGGGGACAACAGUUGGAUUCGACUGCUAAUACCGCAUAACAUUUUGGGAAGGCAUCUUCCUGAAAUCAAAGAUUUAUCGCUGAAGGAUGGGCUCAUGUCUGAUUAGCUAGUUGGCGGGGUAACGGCCCACCAAGGCUGCGAUCAGUAGCCGGUCUGAGAGGAUGAACGGCCACAUUGGGACUGAGAUACGGCCCAGACUCCUACGGGAGGCAGCAGUGGGGAAUAUUGGGCAAUGGGCGCAAGCCUGACCCAGCAAUGCCGCGUGAAGGAAGAAGGCCCUCGGGUUGUAAACUUCUUUUAUCAGGGACGAAGGAUGUGACGGUACCUGAUGAAUAAGCUCCGGCUAACUACGUGCCAGCAGCCGCGGUAAUACGUAGGGAGCAAGCGUUAUCCGGAUUUACUGGGUGUAAAGGGCGCGUAGGCGGGAUGGCAAGUCAGAUGUGAAAUCCAGGGGCUCAACCCCUGAACUGCAUUUGAAACUGUCGUUCUUGAGUACUGGAGAGGUUGACGGAAUUCCUAGUGUAGCGGUGA